UACAGCCAUAUCCCAUUGAAACAACAGUUCUUGUAUGAUCACUGAAGUUAAGCAAUGUCAAGCCGGGUCAGUACCUAGAUGGGUGGCUACUUGGGAAUAACAGAUGCCACAG
This is a non-coding RNA of Acanthosepion pharaonis, 112 nucleotides long. NCBI's taxonomy places the organism in Eukaryota, Metazoa, Mollusca, Cephalopoda, Sepiida, Sepiidae. The record is from the annotation of a GenBank genome assembly.